ACUGCUCAGUAACACGUGGACAACCUACCCUCAGAUCUGGGAUAAACCUGGGAAACUGGGUAUAAUACCGGAUAGGUCUUGGAUGCUGGAAAUGCACCGAGGCCCAAAGCUCCGGCGUCUGAGGAUGGGUCUGCGGCCUAUCAGGGUAGUAGUGGGUGUAAAGUACCUACUAGCCUACGACGGGUACGGGUCGUGAGAGCGAGAGCCCGGAGAUGGAUUCUGAGACACGAAUCCAGGCCCUACGGGGUGCAGCAGGCGCGAAAACUUUACAAUGCCGGCAACGGCGAUAAGGGGACCUCGAGUGCCAGGAUACAAUCCUGGCUGUCGUAAUGCCUAAAAAGCAUUAUAUAGCAAGGGCCGGGCAAGACCGGUGCCAGCCGCCGCGGUAACACCGGCGGCUCGAGUGGUAACCGCUAUUAUUGGGUCUAAAGGGUCUGUAGCCGGCCUGGUAAGUCUUUUGGGAAAUCCGGCAGCUCAACUGUCGGGCUAUCAGAGGAUACUGCUAGGCUCGAGACCGGGAGAGGUGAGAGGUACUUCAUGGGUAGGGGUGAAAUCUUGUAAUCCUUGAAGGACCACCAGUGGCGAAGGCGUCUCACCAGAACGGAUCUGACGGCAAGGGACGAAAGCUAGGGGCACGAACCGGAUUAGAUACCCGGGUAGUCCUAGCCGUAAACGAUACUCGCUAGGUGUCGGCCACGGUGCGACCGUGGUCGGUGCCGUAGGGAAGCCGUGAAGCGAGCCACCUGGGAAGUACGGCCGCAAGGUUGAAACUUAAAGGAAUUGGCGGGGGAGCAC
Molecule: ribosomal RNA, 795 nt
Filed under: uncultured archaeon
Lineage: Archaea
Description: bacterial SSU rRNA
Rfam family: Archaeal small subunit ribosomal RNA
Source: RNAcentral